ACAGAAGCUUUUGCGUUGAAGGCUUUAAUCGAUCCCACCUGCUCAACAAGGCUUGGCAAGAUGGUCUCGAGUGUUUGACUCCAAGAAGAUGUAAUCCAAGAAGAUUUAAUCAAGCAAAUCUUCUUCUAUGUUUGUGUAAUCUUGUGUUCUCUGUCUCAUCUUGUUGGUCAUAAAGAGUGAAAGAGUGUAGCAUUGUAGUCACGGACAAGCUCAGUCUCAUGUAGUCUCACUGGAGUGAAGCUUGUAGUCUUCUGUAUUAAUAUGUCAAUGUUCUUGUAGUCUUGUGAUCUUCUCGUGUGUGGUGGUCACGGGAGUGGAGCUUGUGAUCUUCUGUAUUCAUGUGUCAAUGUUCUUUGUAUUCUGGUAGGGGAGUGAAGCUUGUAUUAUGCUCAACUUUUUUUUUAAUAAAAUUAUAUUGAAUAGUUUUUAAUU
Molecule: long non-coding RNA, 432 nt
Organism: Raphanus sativus (radish)
Lineage: Eukaryota; Viridiplantae; Streptophyta; Magnoliopsida; Brassicales; Brassicaceae
Exons: 2
Source: RefSeq, a predicted model, not a curated record